This is a non-coding RNA of Pangasianodon hypophthalmus (striped catfish), 2000 nucleotides long. The record is from the annotation of a RefSeq genome assembly. NCBI's taxonomy places the organism in Eukaryota, Metazoa, Chordata, Actinopteri, Siluriformes, Pangasiidae.
UGCUGCUACAGCAACUUCACCCACAGCUACCAUGACUUUGAUCCCCGUCUUCAUCUGGACACUGAUCUUCUGGACUCAAGAAUGCAGAGGUCAAGUCACAGUAACUCAGACUCCUGCAGUGAAAUCUGCUCUUCCAGGAGAAACAGUCACCAUCAACUGUAGAAUCAGUCAGGCAGUGUACAAGGACUCAUCUGGUCAGUGGUUACACUGGUAUCAGCAGAAACCUGGAGAAGCUCCUAAACUCGUGAUUAAACUUGUGAAUCAGUUGCAGUCAGGUUUUCCAGCUCGUUUCAGUGGCAGUGGAUCUGGAUCUGAUUUCACUCUGACCAUCAGUGGAGUCCAGACUGAAGAUGCAGGAGAUUACUACUGUCAGAGUUACCACAGUGGUGGUGUGUUCACACAGUGUUAUAGAGUCGUACAAAAACCUCCCUCAGUCAGAUUGUAGAGAGACUGCACUGCUGCAGCUGGGAGCGACUGCAGGUGCUGAGUUGUAGGAUGUGAUACGAUACAAUGACACUCUGUGGAGGAGAGGAACCACACCACACUAACUCACAACUCACAUUACAAAUCUCUCAAUAAUCAUCACACCACACUGCACACAGUCCAUCACAUCCACUACUUUAAGAUAAUUCGUUUUUUUAGUUUGCUGAGGUGCUAUUUGUCCUAACUGAAACUGUUUGGUGGAUAAUUUUUUUCAGUCUCUAUCACUAAUCCUGCCCCCAUUACAGUCUCUGAUUCUGACCUGAUAUCAGUCACUGUUAUGAAUCUAGUUGCAGCCUCAAUCUGUGUGUCUGUCUUGUGUGUGUUUCAGGUCACACUCUGGCCCUGCUCCAGAUUCUGGCUCAGUCAAUGGUGUAGCUCCUCCUGUCCUUUAACAGCUGCCCUCUAACACACAAUAGUGUAAACUUUUUUGGACCAGGUCUUCAUCCAUCCUUCAUCAGCUCUAGAUAUCAGCAUUACCAUUUCUAUCUGUUCCUGUCAUUACAGAAGUUUCAUGUCCAGUUUGUCUCACCUGUUGUCCUGUUCUGUUGUACUCCUAGUGCACUUUGAGUUCUUCUGUAUAAUUAUGUGUAUGUUAUUAAUAUUCUGAGUCUUUAUGAGGAAAAGUAAUUAGAUUUCAUUCAGUUUUAUAUGAAAGAAGUUGUAAGAAAACGUAUGAACACUAGCCUGCCCCUAAUCCUAACCAUAGCCACUAAUUUUUGUGACAUUGUAUGAGACCACAUUGAAAUAAUACACGUCCUGCUCUCUACUUUUAGCUCAAGUCAUUCACCUUUUAUUUUUACACACUUGUGUACAUUUAUAUAUGGACAUAUUGUAACUUUGAUUAGUUACACCUGCUUUCAGUUCAGUAAGAUGUUCACAUAUUUCCCAUCCAGUUAAAGUUUUUUUUAUCCUUGAUUUUUAAUUUACUGAUUUAUUGCUUUUAUCCAAAGAGAUAUAAAAGUGAUUAAAGCAUAUCUUAUUUUCCAUGAAUUUUGCAUAGUCAGGACCUUCAGAAGUGGCUGAAAGUCAUAUACAACAUUCCUGGAACUAUCUGCUUACUAGUUAAGUCAUGAUUAGCUCAGGGCAGUCUGUUGUGUCUGGGCCAUGAUGAUGCUGACAGACCCAUCACUACAUGAUCAAGACUGAAUAAAGAUUAAAUAUCAAUUAGAGCUCUUUCUUCUUCCUCUGUUAUAAAGAGAGGAGAGUGAGAACUUCAGUAAAGGUCAUCAGGAGAUUUGAGUGACAGCUGUAAUUUCCACUGUUUUCUGGACAUUUCACAGUCAUGUCUUCAUGCACUGGGUGUAAAAACCUCAUUCAUUUCUGUGAAUAACAGGCUACAAAGCUGGCUGACAGACAGCCCUGUGUUCUCAAUCCACAGCUAGUGUUAAGAAGGGAUUAGGGCGUGUGUAGUACAUUACCUGCUCUGCUCAUACAUAACAGUGGAAGACUCCUUUUAUUUCCUAUAAUGUGUAUCAUCUCAGAGAGAAAGCUCAAGCCCUGUAGGAGCCUGACCUGAC